GAAUCCUCUCCUUCCCCUCUUCAUCUUGGACUCCUAACACGACACACACACAGACACACCAGACUUGAUUCCUAAGACACGACUGACUCGGAUUCCAACAAGAAGAAGAAGAAGAAGAAGAAGAAGAACCCCUCAGCCCAUAUACGGUAUAUGGCAACAGGCGAAGCCUUCACCUCCUCUUACCUAUCUAUCGCGAUAACAACUUAUUAUUUGGGAUUAGGUCGAUUUAGAUAGCCAGGACGAGGCCAGGAAAGGACUUCCCGGCGCGCUCGGGGCGGCUGCUCUCCCACACGGGAGUCCCGUGAGCCGACCCGGAGGAAGAAGAGGAGGAGCAGGAAGCGGCGGAUUUGGAGGCCGAGUCGGCGGCGACUCGGGUGAUGGUGAGGGAGGUGUUGAAGUACUCGCGGACCUGGGUGAUUAUCCCAUCCGGGGCGAUGGUCCAGGCGUGGACCCACGCGGUGUCGGCGUCGGGGCCGCUGCCCUCGGCGACGACGGUGGAGCCGAAGGCGGCGACUCGCUCGGGCUUGAACUGGAAGGCGGCGGCGGCGGUUGUCUCCUCGUAGUCCGCGCCGGUGAGCAUGCGCAUCAUGUGCUGGUGCUCCGGCGGACCAUGGAACCACCACUCGAUGUCGGGGGCCAGCAGCUGCUGCACCCGCUCCACGUCCCGCACGUUCAGGGCCUCAU
This 684-nucleotide long non-coding RNA is filed under the name Musa acuminata (dwarf banana). RNAcentral's name for it is "long non-coding RNA (MACU_LNC003191)". Lineage: Eukaryota; Viridiplantae; Streptophyta; Magnoliopsida; Zingiberales; Musaceae. The record is from RNAcentral.